This 253-nucleotide ribosomal RNA is filed under the name uncultured bacterium. RNAcentral's name for it is "partial 16S ribosomal RNA". It matches the Rfam family "Bacterial small subunit ribosomal RNA", at positions 524 to 776 of the family's 1533-position model. The record is from RNAcentral.
CACGUAGGCACCAAGCGUUGUCCGGAUUCAUUGGGCGUAAAGGGUGCGUAGGCGGCGCGGUAAGUCGGGUGUGAAAUCUCGGAGCUUAACUCCGAAACUGCAUUCGAUACUGCCGUGCUUGAGGACUGGAGAGGAGACUGGAAUUUACGGUGUAGCGGUGAAAUGCGUAGAUAUCGUAAGGAAGACCAGUGGCGAAGGCGGGUCUCUGGGCAGUUCCUGACGCUGAGGCACGAAGGUCAGGGGAGCAAACGGG